RNAcentral lists this transfer RNA (67 nucleotides) under Agrilus mali. Its description in RNAcentral is "tRNA-Glu". The record is from RNAcentral. Lineage: Eukaryota; Metazoa; Arthropoda; Insecta; Coleoptera; Buprestidae.
AUUUAUGUAGUUUAAAAAACAUUGUGUUUUCAUCACAAAAAUAAAUAAUUAACUUAUUUCAUAAAUU